This 227-nucleotide ribosomal RNA is filed under the name Limosilactobacillus reuteri. Its description in RNAcentral is "Lactobacillus reuteri partial 16S ribosomal RNA". It matches the Rfam family "Bacterial small subunit ribosomal RNA", at positions 358 to 577 of the family's 1533-position model. The record is from RNAcentral. Lineage: Bacteria; Bacillati; Bacillota; Bacilli; Lactobacillales; Lactobacillaceae.
GGAAUCUUCCACAAUGGGCGCAAGCCUGAUGGAGCAACACCGCGUGAGUGAAGAAGGGUUUCGGCUCGUAAAGCUCUGUUGUUGGAGAAGAACGUGCGUGAGAGUAACUGUUCAUGCAGUGACGGUAUCCAACCAGAAAGUCACGGCUAACUACGUGCCAGCAGCCGCGGUAAUACGUAGGUGGCAAGCGUUAUCCGGAUUUAUUGGGCGUAAAGCGAGCGCAGGCG